GAGGAAGCCCGGUGAGAUUCCGGCGCGGUCCCGCCACUGUGAACCCCGCGGAGCGAUCGGCGGGGUGAGUCAGGAACUC
Molecule: non-coding RNA, 79 nt
Filed under: Streptomyces sp.
Lineage: Bacteria; Bacillati; Actinomycetota; Actinomycetes; Kitasatosporales; Streptomycetaceae
Source: RNAcentral